UGGGCGCCAUGCUGCUCUGUAGCUCUGGCUGUAGGAGCCAUUUGAAAGUCUGAGGUGGGCAUGAGGCUCCAGCAUUGCUGCAAUGCAGACGUGGACGUGGCUGGGAGUUUCAGCGUUAAUCGCCUGCACACAUCUCAUUUGGGAGUCACCUUUGGGCUAUGUAUUCCCUGAGGUUUGGUCAACUUUGUCACCUUUUGAAAAAAAGAAGUCUGUGGGCCUGCGUUUAAUGUAGAGCUUGAUAAGAAAAUUCUUCAAAGAGUCCAUUUGAAUGAGGCCUGAGUGUGGCUGUUUGGUAAUGUCUGCCCAUGGCUGGGCAGGCUCUGCAUUCCUUCUGGGGGGCAAAGCUUUUGACAGGAAAAAUAAAUGUGAAGCAAAGUCUCUUCUUCACGUUGAAGGACCAACGCCAAAAGGAAUGGAGCAUUUUCACAAAAGUAAACAGAAGUCGAUGGAG
This 451-nucleotide long non-coding RNA is filed under the name Buteo japonicus. RNAcentral's name for it is "lncRNA (ENSBJAG00000002807.1)". Lineage: Eukaryota; Metazoa; Chordata; Aves; Accipitriformes; Accipitridae. The record is from RNAcentral.